RNAcentral lists this ribosomal RNA (462 nucleotides) under uncultured bacterium. RNAcentral describes it as "partial 16S ribosomal RNA". It matches the Rfam family "Bacterial small subunit ribosomal RNA", at positions 28 to 507 of the family's 1533-position model. The record is from RNAcentral.
GACGAACGCUGGCGGCGUGCUUAACACAUGCAAGUCGAACGGAAAGGCCCUUCGGGGUACUCGAGUGGCGAACGGGUGAGUAACACGUGGGUGAUCUGCCCUGCACUUUGGGAUAAGCCUGGGAAACUGGGUCUAAUACCGAAUAGGACCACGCGCUUCAUGGUGUGUGGUGGAAAGCUUUUGCGGUGUGGGAUGGGCCCGCGGCCUAUCAGCUUGUUGGUGGGGUAAUGGCCUACCAAGGCGACGACGGGUAGCCGGCCUGAGAGGGUGACCGGCCACACUGGGACUGAGAUACGGCCCAGACUCCUACGGGAGGCAGCAGUGGGGAAUAUUGCACAAUGGGCGCAAGCCUGAUGCAGCGACGCCGCGUGAGGGAUGACGGCCUUCGGGUUGUAAACCUAUUUCAAUAGGGACGAAGCGCAAGUGACGGUACCUAUAGAAGAAGCACCGGCCAACUACGUG